This 87-nucleotide transfer RNA is filed under the name Methylobacterium indicum. RNAcentral's name for it is "tRNA-Arg". Lineage: Bacteria; Pseudomonadati; Pseudomonadota; Alphaproteobacteria; Hyphomicrobiales; Methylobacteriaceae. The record is from RNAcentral.
CGCCCGCUACGGCGUCGGCGGCCGCGGCGGCUUCCGCUGCUGCUGACCGACCUCGCCCGCGCAGGGUCCUUAACCCUGCGCGGGCGA